Molecule: ribosomal RNA, 497 nt
Filed under: uncultured bacterium
Lineage: Bacteria
Description: partial 16S ribosomal RNA
Rfam family: Bacterial small subunit ribosomal RNA
Source: RNAcentral
GAUGAACGCUGGCGGCGUGCCUAAUACAUGCAAGUCGAGCGAACAGACGAGGAGCUUGCUCCUCUGACGUUAGCGGCGGACGGGUGAGUAACACGUGGAUAACCUACCUAUAAGACUGGGAUAACUUCUGGAAACCGGAGCUAAUACCGGAUAAUAUAUUGAACCGCAUGGUUCAAUAGUGAAAGACGGUUUUGCUGUCACUUAUAGAUGGAUCCGCGCCGCAUUAGCUAGUUGGUAAGGUAACGGCUUACCAAGGCAACGAUGCGUAGCCGACCUGAGAGGGUGAUCGGACACACUGGAACUGAGACACGGUCAAGACUCCUACGGGAGGCAGCAGUAGGGAAUCUUCCGCAAUGGGCGAAAGCUUGACGGAGCAACGCCGCGUGAGUGAUGAAGGUCUUCGGAUCGUAAAACUCUGUUAUUAGGGAAGAACAAAUGUGUAAGUAACUAUGCACGUCUUGACGGUACCUAAUCAGAAAGCCACGGCUAACUACGUG